This is a non-coding RNA of Ailuropoda melanoleuca (giant panda), 73 nucleotides long. Lineage: Eukaryota; Metazoa; Chordata; Mammalia; Carnivora; Ursidae. The record is from Rfam.
ACCUGGCUGGCUCAGUUUGUAGAGCAUGUGACUCUUGAUCUUGUGGUCGUGAGUUUGAACCCCAUGUUGGGUG